Molecule: ribosomal RNA, 443 nt
Filed under: uncultured bacterium
Lineage: Bacteria
Description: partial 16S ribosomal RNA
Rfam family: Bacterial small subunit ribosomal RNA
Source: RNAcentral
UCUACGGGUGGCUGCAGUGGGGGAUAUUGGACAAUGGGGGGAACCCUGAUCCAGCGACGCCGCGUGAGUGAAGAAGUAUUUCGGUAUGUAAAGCUCUAUCAGCAGGGAAGAAAAGAAUGACGGUACCUGAAUAAGAAGCCCCGGCUAACUACGUGCCAGCAGCCGCGGUAAUACGUAGGGGGCAAGCGUUAUCCGGAUUUACUGGGUGUAAAGGGAGCGCAGACGGCAAUGCAAGCCAGGAGUGAAAGCCCGGGGCCCAACCCCGGGACUGCUCUUGGAACUGCGUGGCUGGAGCGCAGGGUGGGGAAGCGGAAUUCCUGGUGUAGCGGUGAAAUGCGUAGAUAUCAGGAGGAACACCAGGGGCGAAGGCGGCCUGCUGGACUGGAACUGACGUUGAGGCCCGAAAGCGUGGGGAGCAAACAGGAUUAGAUACCCUAGUAGUC